RNAcentral lists this transfer RNA (73 nucleotides) under Pseudonocardiales bacterium. RNAcentral's name for it is "tRNA-Gln". It matches the Rfam family "tRNA". From Rfam's summary of the family: Transfer RNA (tRNA) molecules are approximately 80 nucleotides in length. RNAcentral also lists the same sequence under 2 other names. The record is from RNAcentral. Lineage: Bacteria; Bacillati; Actinomycetota; Actinomycetes; Pseudonocardiales.
UCCCGGGUCGUCUAGCCAGGCAGGACGAGGGUCUUUGGUACCCUUAACAGAGGUUCGAAUCCUCUCCCGGGAG